GGACUUCUUUGUCCUAUCCUCUUGGUCAGUCGUGGGCUUCACACACUCUGUACAGUGGCUCUUGUGCAGCGUGGCUCACUUACGCAUGGCCUAGCGUGCUCCGUGGUGUGCCCCUAUCCCGUCCACCAACCCCGUGGCAGUGAACGGGACGGGAGCUGUUGCUGACGUCCGUACCACAGAUGAGUAGGCAAGCCUUGGUCAACAGCCUACACGGAGCGUGCUAC
Molecule: long non-coding RNA, 224 nt
Filed under: Setaria viridis
Lineage: Eukaryota; Viridiplantae; Streptophyta; Magnoliopsida; Poales; Poaceae
Description: long non-coding RNA (SVIR_LNC005462)
Source: RNAcentral